GGCGCCGUGGCUUAGUUGGUUAAAGCGCCUGUCAAGUAAACACGAGCUUGUGAGUUCGAAUCUCGCCGGUGCCU
This 74-nucleotide transfer RNA is filed under the name Cordylochernes scorpioides. RNAcentral's name for it is "tRNA-Thr". It matches the Rfam family "tRNA". Rfam says of the family: Transfer RNA (tRNA) molecules are approximately 80 nucleotides in length. Their secondary structure includes four short double-helical elements and three loops (D, anti-codon, and T loops). The record is from RNAcentral. Lineage: Eukaryota; Metazoa; Arthropoda; Arachnida; Pseudoscorpiones; Chernetidae.